RNAcentral lists this non-coding RNA (23 nucleotides) under Cricetulus griseus (Chinese hamster). The record is from RNAcentral. Lineage: Eukaryota; Metazoa; Chordata; Mammalia; Rodentia; Cricetidae.
GCUGGGCUGUGGUGGCACAUGCC